RNAcentral lists this long non-coding RNA (215 nucleotides) under Vigna radiata. RNAcentral's name for it is "long non-coding RNA (VRAD_LNC007249)". Lineage: Eukaryota; Viridiplantae; Streptophyta; Magnoliopsida; Fabales; Fabaceae. The record is from RNAcentral.
AAACCCUAAAUUAAGAAGCCUAAUUGCGAGUUCAUCGCAAAUAAAAAAAUGCCCAACCCACUCGCAAAAGUCAUCCAAUCGGGGUCUUUGAUUGUUAAAGCCAGGGUUAAGGAGACUCCAAAGUUAGUACGCAGAAGCUCAUCAUUUCCACCUGGAGAGACAUUUGGAAUGAGGCAAUUUUAUUUGCUGACAGUGAAAGAAGAAUUCAACCUUCC